This 66-nucleotide non-coding RNA is filed under the name unclassified sequences. RNAcentral describes it as "6A RNA". It matches the Rfam family "6A RNA". Rfam says of the family: Actinobacteria (1 example), Firmicutes, Fusobacteria. The record is from Rfam by way of RNAcentral.
AGACUUGGUCGUAGAGCCACGACCAACUGGGGUAAUCUCCCCUCAAAAAAAGAACGCUCACUGAGA